UACGGAGGAUCCACGCGUUAUCCGGAUUUAUUGGGUUUAAAGGGUGCGUAGGCGGCUUAUUAAGUCAGGGGUGAAAGACGGUGGCUCAACCAUCGCAGUGCCUUUGAUACUGAUGAGCUUGAAUACACUUGAGGUAGGCGGAAUGUGACAAGUAGCGGUGAAAUGCAUAGAUAUGUCACAGAACACCAAUUGCGAAGGCAGCUUACUAAGGUGCAAUUGACGCUGAGGCACGAAAGCGUGGGGAUCAAACAGG
This 253-nucleotide ribosomal RNA is filed under the name uncultured bacterium. RNAcentral describes it as "partial 16S ribosomal RNA". It matches the Rfam family "Bacterial small subunit ribosomal RNA", at positions 524 to 776 of the family's 1533-position model. The record is from RNAcentral.